GACGAACCACACAAACGUUAUUCGGAAUUACUGGGCUUAAAGGGUGCGUAGGCUGCGCGGAAAGUUGGGUGUGAAAUCCCUCGGCCUAACCGAGGAAUUGCGCCCAAAACUACUGGGCUCGAGGGAGUUAGAGGUGAGCGGAACUCACGGUGGAGCGGUGAAAUGCGUUGAUAUCGUGAGGAACACCGGAGGCGAAAGCGGCUCACUGGGGCUUUCUGACGCUGAGGCACGAAAGCUAGGGGAGCAAA
Molecule: ribosomal RNA, 248 nt
Filed under: uncultured bacterium
Lineage: Bacteria
Description: partial 16S ribosomal RNA
Rfam family: Bacterial small subunit ribosomal RNA
Source: RNAcentral